This 484-nucleotide ribosomal RNA is filed under the name uncultured bacterium. RNAcentral describes it as "partial 16S ribosomal RNA". It matches the Rfam family "Bacterial small subunit ribosomal RNA", at positions 30 to 507 of the family's 1533-position model. The record is from RNAcentral.
AUUGAACGCUGGCGGCAGGCCUAACACAUGCAAGUCGAGCGGAUGAAGGGAGCUUGCUCCUGGAUUCAGCGGCGGACGGGUGAGUAAUGCCUAGGAAUCUGCCUGGUAGUGGGGGAUAACGUCCGGAAACGGGCGCUAAUACCGCAUACGUCCUGUGGGAGAAAGUGGGGGGUCUUCGGACCUUUAGCUAUCAGAUGAGCCUAGGUCGGAUUAGUUAGUUGGGGGGGUGAGGGCCUACCAAGGGGCGAACCCGUACUUGGUCUGAGAGACUGAUCAGUCACACUGGAACUGAGACACGGUCCAGACUCCUACGGGAGGCAGCAGUGGGGAAUAUUGGACAAUGGGCGAAAGCCUGAUCCAGCCAUGCCGCGUGUGUGAAGAAGGUCUUCGGAUUGGAAAGCACUUUAAGUUGGGAGGAAGGGCAGUAAGUUAAUACCUUGCUGUUUUGACGUUACCAACAGAAUAAGCACCGGCUAACUUCGUG